RNAcentral lists this ribosomal RNA (462 nucleotides) under Triticum aestivum (bread wheat). RNAcentral's name for it is "partial small subunit ribosomal RNA". The record is from RNAcentral. Lineage: Eukaryota; Viridiplantae; Streptophyta; Magnoliopsida; Poales; Poaceae.
AUGCAUUUACCUAUUGCAACCGAGUCAUCCUAUAUUAUUCUCAUUGUAGUUUACACAGUCUGCUCACACGAAAUCUUUUUUGUUUCAUGUAAGAAGUCAAGAACUAUCAUCCAGCUUGAAUUUUUGGGGAUCAUUGUUCACACCUUACAAUUGCUUUGCAGGAUAACAUUCACCCCGACUGUGCAGCACUGCAGUAUGGCUACGGUGACUGGCCUGUGCCUCAGGCUUACGUUGAUGCAAAACCCGCGCGACUUGGUGAGGCUGAGGCCAUCACCGAGGCUGGAUACAUGCAUGCGGACACAGCCACGGCCGCAGCUCUCUGGAAACCAAGACAGCGACAGCAUCGACGGGAUCCUCGAACAACCCGCGUCCUUCUGCCUGCGUCCUUCCCCUACCAUGCUUGCGACCUGCAUCCAGCUAUUCCUGCCCCGAGCCUCCUCAACUUGGCUCCUGGUGAGCUGA